UACGUAGGGUGCAAGCGUUGUCCGGAAUUAUUGGGCGUAAAGAGCUCGUAGGCGGUGUGUCGCGUCGGCCGUGAAAACCUGGGGCUCAACUCUGGGCGUGCGGUCGAUACGGGCAUCACUUGAGUUCGGCAGGGGAGACUGGAAUUCCUGGUGUAGCGGUGAAAUGCGCAGAUAUCAGGAGGAACACCGGUGGCGAAGGCGGGUCUCUGGGCAUUAACUGACGCUGAGGAGCGAAAGCAUGGGGAGCGAACAGG
RNAcentral lists this ribosomal RNA (254 nucleotides) under uncultured bacterium. RNAcentral describes it as "partial 16S ribosomal RNA". It matches the Rfam family "Bacterial small subunit ribosomal RNA", at positions 524 to 776 of the family's 1533-position model. The record is from RNAcentral.